RNAcentral lists this transfer RNA (61 nucleotides) under Stictocephala bisonia. RNAcentral's name for it is "tRNA-Trp". The record is from RNAcentral. Lineage: Eukaryota; Metazoa; Arthropoda; Insecta; Hemiptera; Membracidae.
AAGAUUUUAAGUUAAUAAACUAUUAACCUUCAAAGUUAAAAUUGCAAAUAAGCAAAUCUUA